UGGGGAAUUUUGGACAAUGGGGGAAACCCUGAUCCAGCCAUCCCGCGUGUGCGAUGAAGGCCUUCGGGUUGUAAAGCACUUUUGGCAGGAAAGAAACGUCGCGGGUUAAUACCCCGCGAAACUGACGGUACCUGCAGAAUAAGCACCGGCUAACUACGUGCCAGCAGCCGCGGUAAUACGUAGGGUGCAAGCGUUAAUCGGAAUUACUGGGCGUAAAGCGUGCGCAGGCGGUUCGGAAAGAAAGAUGUGAAAUCCCAGAGCUUAACUUUGGAACUGCAUUUUUAACUACCGGGCUAGAGUGUGUCAGAGGGAGGUGGAAUUCCGCGUGUAGCAGUGAAAUGCGUAGAUAUGCGGAGGAACACCGACGGCGAAGGCAGCCUCCUGGGAUAACACUGACGCUCAUGCACGAAAGCGUGGGGAGCAAAACAGGAUUAGAUACCCUGGUAGUCCACGCCCUAAACGAUGUCAACUAGCUGUUGGGGCCUUCGGGCCUUGGUAGCGCAGCUAACGCGUGAAGUUGACCGCCUGGGGAGUACGGUCGCAAGAUUAAAACUCAAAUGAA
This 562-nucleotide ribosomal RNA is filed under the name uncultured bacterium. RNAcentral's name for it is "partial 16S ribosomal RNA". It matches the Rfam family "Bacterial small subunit ribosomal RNA", at positions 355 to 909 of the family's 1533-position model. The record is from RNAcentral.